UUUUAUGGAGAGUUUGAUCCUGGCUCAGGAUGAACGCUGGCGGCGUGCCUAAUACAUGCAAGUCGAGCGAACAGACGAGGAGCUUGCUCCUCUGACGUUAGCGGCGGACGGGUGAGUAACACGUGGAUAACCUACCUAUAAGACUGGGAUAACUUCGGGAAACCGGAGCUAAUACCGGAUAAUAUAUUGAACCGCAUGGUUCAAUAGUGAAAGUCGGUUUUGCUGUCACUUAUAGAUGGAUCCGCGCCGC
RNAcentral lists this ribosomal RNA (250 nucleotides) under Staphylococcus epidermidis. Its description in RNAcentral is "partial 16S ribosomal RNA". It matches the Rfam family "Bacterial small subunit ribosomal RNA", at positions 1 to 239 of the family's 1533-position model. The record is from RNAcentral. Lineage: Bacteria; Bacillati; Bacillota; Bacilli; Caryophanales; Staphylococcaceae.